RNAcentral lists this ribosomal RNA (375 nucleotides) under uncultured organism. Its description in RNAcentral is "partial 16S ribosomal RNA". It matches the Rfam family "Bacterial small subunit ribosomal RNA", at positions 527 to 896 of the family's 1533-position model. The record is from RNAcentral.
GUAGGUGGCAAGCGUUGUCCGGGAAUUAUUGGGGCGUAAAGCGCGCGCAGGCGGUUCUUUAAGUCUGAUGUGAAAGCCCACGGGCUCAACCGUGGAGGGUCAUUGGAAACUGGAGAACUUGAGUACAGAAGAGGAAAGCGGAAUUCCACGUGUAGCGGUGAAAUGCGUAGAGAUGUGGAGGAACGCCAGUGGCGAAGGCGGCUUUCUGGUCUGUAACUGACGCUGAGGCGCGAAAGCGUGGGGAGCAAACAGGAUUAGAUACCCUGGUAGUCCACGCCGUGAACGAUGAGUGCUAAGUGUUAGGGGGUUUCCGCCCCUUAGUGCUGCAGCUAACGCAUUAAGCGCUCCGCCUGGGGAGUACGGCCGCAAAGGCUG